RNAcentral lists this ribosomal RNA (448 nucleotides) under uncultured organism. Its description in RNAcentral is "partial 16S ribosomal RNA". It matches the Rfam family "Bacterial small subunit ribosomal RNA", at positions 335 to 799 of the family's 1533-position model. The record is from RNAcentral.
ACUCCUGCGGGAGGCAGCAGUGGGGAAUAUUGGACAAUGGGCGCAAGCCUGAUCCAGCCAUGCCGCGUGAGUGAUGAAGGCCCUAGGGUUGUAAAGCUCUUUCACCGGUGAAGAUAAUGACGGUAACCGGAGAAGAAGCCCCGGCUAACUUCGUGCCAGCAGCCGCGGUAAUACGAAGGGGGCUAGCGUUGUUCGGAUUUACUGGGCGUAAAGCGCACGUAGGCGGACUAUUAAGUCAGGGGUUAAAUCCCGGGGCUCAACCCCGGAACUGCCUUUGAUACUGGUAGUCUUGAGUUCGAGAGAGGUGAGUGGAAUUCCGAGUGUAGAGGUGAAAUUCGUAGAUAUUCGGAGGAACACCAGUGGCGAAGGCGGCUCACUGGCUCGAUACUGACGCUGAGGUGCGAAAGCGUGGGGAGCAAACAGGAUUAGAAACCCGUGUAGUCCCAUG